This 110-nucleotide small nuclear RNA is filed under the name Propithecus coquereli (Coquerel's sifaka). Lineage: Eukaryota; Metazoa; Chordata; Mammalia; Primates; Indriidae. The record is from RNAcentral.
GUGCUCACUUCAGCAGCACAUAUACUAAAAUUGGAAUGACACAGAAAAGAUUAUUAGCAUGGCCCCUGCCCAAGGAUGACAUGCAAAUUAAUGAAGCAAUCUGUAUUUUC